GUGGGUAGUUUGACUGGGGCGGUCUCCUCCUAAAGAGUAACGGAGGAGCACGAAGGUUGGCUAAUCCUGGUCGGACAUCAGGAGGUUAGUGCAAUGGCAUAAGCCAGCUUGACUGCGAGCGUGACGGCGCGAGCAGGUGCGAAAGCAGGUCAUAGUGAUCCGGUGGUUCUGAAUGGAAGGGCCAUCGCUCAACGGAUAAAAGGUACUCCGGGGAUAACAGGCUGAUACCGCCCAAGAGUUCAUAUCGACGGCGGUGUUUGGCACCUCGAUGUCGGCUCAUCACAUCCUGGGGCUGAAGUAGGUCCCAAGGGUAUGGCUGUUCGCCAUUUAAAGUGGUACGCGAGCUGGGUUUAGAACGUCGUGAGACAGUUCGGUCCCUAUCUGCCGUGGGCGCUGGAGAACUGAGGGGGGCUGCUCCUAGUACGAGAGGACCGGAGUGGACGCAUCACUGGUGUUCGGGUUGUCAUGCCAAUGGCACUGCCCGGUAGCUAAAUGCGGAAGAGAUAAGUGCUGAAAGCAUCUAAGCACGAAACUUGCCCCGAGAUGAGUUCUCCCUGAGACUUUAGGUCUCCUGAAGGAACGUUGAAGACGACGACGUUGAUAGGCCGGGUGUGUAAGCGCAG
This 623-nucleotide ribosomal RNA is filed under the name Salmonella enterica. Its description in RNAcentral is "partial 23S ribosomal RNA". It matches the Rfam family "Bacterial large subunit ribosomal RNA", at positions 2261 to 2878 of the family's 2925-position model. The record is from RNAcentral. Lineage: Bacteria; Pseudomonadati; Pseudomonadota; Gammaproteobacteria; Enterobacterales; Enterobacteriaceae. RNAcentral also lists the same sequence under 2 other names.